Bolinopsis microptera is the source of this 745-nucleotide long non-coding RNA. RefSeq lists it as uncharacterized. The record is from RefSeq and is a predicted model, not a curated record. The transcript has 4 exons. Lineage: Eukaryota; Metazoa; Ctenophora; Tentaculata; Lobata; Bolinopsidae.
AAUCUCAUAUCUUGAAUCUAUAAGUAGCUUAGUUCUAUAAAUAGUUUGGUUCUAAAUCUGAUAGUUUAAUAGUUUACCACCUGCUUGUUUGUAUAAUUAGCUUGGUGAUAAAGUUAUGAUAGUUUUAAUACUUCACUAAUUUACCACCAAUUUACCACCUGCCCGCCAGUCAUUUCUCCUUUUCUUCCUACGAUGUCCCGGAGCCUACUGCUGAUCACGCUGUGCUUCAUUUUAUUAAUGCUGGUUAAUCCAGGACUAACAAAGAAAAACAAAAAAAGGAGAAACAAAAAUAGAUAUGAUAAUCUGACAACCUGCUCAGGACAUCAACUACGGGGCAUGACCUGCGAGUGUUUAGCUUCUAACUACAACAUGAGGGGGUGUCCUGAUGAUUUAAAAAAAGGUUCCAAACAGUGCAUCCACUAUGAAACCUACUGUAAAAGCUCCAAAUUAUCACCAGCAAAACAGGGUAAAAUGUGUUGUCAAGCUAUCCUUUGCAAUAUCAACCUUAAAAACUGUUGAUUUGACGAGUUGGGAAUAUAAACGGUAGUGGAAGUAUUGUGGAAGCACUACCAAUACCAUAACUUCAUAAUGUAGCAAUGUUGAGUUAAUUACUGAUUACGUAAUUUAUAGACAAUAAUUUUGAGCCGCUUUGGAAUUUCUUGGAAGAAAAAUUACAUAAUCGAGAUCAAUGAUGAAUUUAUCCACGAUAACAUUUUGAAGAUUUCAUAAACGUGCGAUUUUAUAA